UGCCGGCUAUACUGCGGCUAUCAUGGCUGCUUUACCAAGUGAAGAAUGCAAUAUUACAUAAAAUCCUAUAAAGUUACUUUCUAAUAUUUAAGCAAGCAAAUUUUGAUGGUUAUUUGUUGUACUAGCCUACUAGGUGACGAGUUUUAUUUCAAAGUUGCAGGGAAACAGAAGGGAAACACGACUUCUGGGUAUUUUAUCAUUUGUGCUGAGCACAGUAUGGAAGGUUUUGUUUGGAAAGGUGUUCAAAAUUAAGAAGGAGAUGAAGAAAGAAGUGAUGAAGAAAUGAUCUUUGCUCAGAAGAUUUUUGAAUUAUUGAUAGAUGCGCUAAUAUUGAUCGUUUGGAUACUGAAUUCAGUGAAACUUAUCACCACUCGAACUUGCUACUAUAUGAGAAAACUAAUGAUCAUUUGACUUUAUACAUUUUGCUUUUGGGUUUCGAUUACUAGUUUGUUGCCUAAAAUUUUAAUUUGAAUUAUUAUAUUAAUCAAAGAUUUUGUUGUGAUGUGUAUAU
Molecule: long non-coding RNA, 511 nt
Organism: Capsicum annuum
Lineage: Eukaryota; Viridiplantae; Streptophyta; Magnoliopsida; Solanales; Solanaceae
Exons: 2
Source: RefSeq, a predicted model, not a curated record